AGAAUCAACGCUGGCGGCGUGCCUAACACAUGCAAGUCGAACGCGAAACGGGAGCAAUCCCUGAGUAGAGUGGCAAACGGGUGAGUAACACGUGGGUGACCUGCCUUCGAGUGGGGGAUAACGUUCCGAAAGGAACGCUAAUACCGCAUGACAUCCUGCUCUUUGAAUAGGUGGAGAUCAAAGCUGGGGAUUCGCAAGAACCCGGCACUUGAAGAGGGGCCCGCGUCUGAUUAGCUAGUUGGUGAGGUAACGGCUCACCAAGGCAACGAUCAGUA
RNAcentral lists this ribosomal RNA (275 nucleotides) under uncultured bacterium. RNAcentral describes it as "partial small subunit ribosomal RNA". It matches the Rfam family "Bacterial small subunit ribosomal RNA", at positions 26 to 285 of the family's 1533-position model. The record is from RNAcentral.